This 236-nucleotide long non-coding RNA is filed under the name Elaeis guineensis (African oil palm). RNAcentral's name for it is "long non-coding RNA (EGUI_LNC031248)". Lineage: Eukaryota; Viridiplantae; Streptophyta; Magnoliopsida; Arecales; Arecaceae. The record is from RNAcentral.
GGGUCAAAACUCUCAUCAACUUCUUCUCAUUUUUUGCAAUUAUGGAUGGAAGGCUCUAUUGAAGAUCUCAUGAACCAUAACAAAUCUCAGAUGUCGGUUCUAUAAGUGCUCUAUGUACGAGGUAAGAAAAAGAUAUUGUUUUAAACAUUUUUUCUAAGCAAAAUCUCUCACAAAUCUUUUUAAUAUAGUCACAAGAGAUUUGUUGGUGUUGAAAUGAAGUGCCAGAAAAUGGGAUG